GUCUGCUUUGCCCGAGUCCCGAAAGUGCUUCUCUUUCUUCUCCGAACUGUUGCAGCCCCUGCUUUCCAGGGGAGAUGCAGCAGGCACCAUCCGGAAUCCGCGAGCGACCGAAGCCGUCGAAGUUGGGCCCUGAGUCCAUGAUUAAAGCCGUGAUUCUAACCUCUCCCUCUGGAAAAGGCCGACCCUCUCAAAGAGAACAUCAUUUGAAAUGCAUGAAAACCGGGCCUCACAAGAGAGGAAGAUAAGUCUUGUUUGCAUGCCCCUGUUCCGGAUUCCUCUCUUUCCUCUGAGAGAUGUGUCAAAGCCCAGUUUCCCAAGGCCGGCCUUUUGGGCUAACACCGCUCUGCCGCUCUUGGUGAUGAGGAGAAUUCACCAAGCAUGCGAUAAAUCCCAUUAACCUCCCAAGGCAGUGCCCGGGUUUAAGAGAAAGCGCUAAGCAGCAGGUUAAAAAGAUGCUCUCGCCGCAUAGCUCUUUCUGACCAUUUUCUUUUUUUCAGCAGGAGAUCGUACUUGAUCGCAUGAAUCCUGGAGUUGGCGGGUGGAUCUCGGAUAACGCUCGGCUCAUGGGGAGAACUGGACGGACGGUGGCUUUGACUCAAGAUCUUUCUGAGAGGCCGAUGAUUUUUCUCAGAACUCCAAAAUUCCAUCACUUUGAAGAUUAACCUGGGCGUCGCUUACUGUUGUGGGCGGAAACUGUUUCCCCUGCCGCCUUGAAGCCAGGUGAUCAAAUUGAAGGGAGAUAGAGGUCGUCAAUGGCCUCACUUAAUUUCCUGAGCUCCAUACGCCUUCCAUUGACUGUCUCAAUACACAGGAUGAUGGUGAAAGUAGCUGUAAUUGUGAAGAGAGAGAACAUCAUUAAGGAAUAACAAAUGAGAAUGUGGGGCUCCCGUCCAGUGCUCGGCGCUAUGAAACCUAAUUAGAACCCGAAGAUAAUGAUGGAGCACUCCACCGUAUUUGCAUGGAACACCAGCCCAUAUAAGGCUGUGACAUCACGCGGGAUCCUCUCCCAGUUGAUUGUCCCUAGGCCCCGGUGGGGGUGGAUGAGGACCGGCACCUGUUGUGAGAAGUGACGAGAAGACGAGCUGAAUCAAAGCCCGAAACUCAAAGCUGUCCGCACCCGCCCCCUUUUGUUCCCUCUUAAAUUUUUCCAGAUGAAUAUGAUCAUUAAUGUGAUUUGCCUAAUUAACACAUCGCCUGAAUGACAGCAAACAUGUAAGCAGGUUUCACAGAGCAAACUGUGCCUGAUUAAAGCCACAGCCUAGCUAAUUAGAUGGAAAUUUCUUCAUUCAGUUCCCAUUUUAUUUGAAGUCUCUUGCCUCUCUCCUCUUUUCUCUGGU
Ornithorhynchus anatinus (platypus) is the source of this 1337-nucleotide long non-coding RNA. RefSeq lists it as uncharacterized. NCBI's taxonomy places the organism in Eukaryota, Metazoa, Chordata, Mammalia, Monotremata, Ornithorhynchidae. The record is from RefSeq and is a predicted model, not a curated record. The transcript has 5 exons.